AUGGAGACCUCCCUGCCCUGCGGCUGCGCGGCGCCGACUCCACCUCCGGGCAGCAGCUCGGCCUCCGCAUCCACACCAAGCAGUAGGUGCCCCUCGCCUACAACACACUCCUACAGCUCGCAAUCUUGCCACCCCAUCUCUUCUACUUCUACUGAUCCCCGUGCCCGGCGGCGCGGUCCACAUACCCUCCUAUCCAUCCGACGGCAGUGCUCCUGCUCAUGGAGAUGGAAGAUGACCGGCCAGGCAGCGACCGUCUCUUAUGCUCAAGCCCGAUGCACAGAUCCGAGUUGGAAAUCUUGGUAUGUGAUGGAAUAA
This 315-nucleotide ribosomal RNA is filed under the name Triticum aestivum (bread wheat). Its description in RNAcentral is "partial small subunit ribosomal RNA". The record is from RNAcentral. Lineage: Eukaryota; Viridiplantae; Streptophyta; Magnoliopsida; Poales; Poaceae.